RNAcentral lists this ribosomal RNA (253 nucleotides) under uncultured bacterium. Its description in RNAcentral is "partial 16S ribosomal RNA". It matches the Rfam family "Bacterial small subunit ribosomal RNA", at positions 524 to 776 of the family's 1533-position model. The record is from RNAcentral.
UACGUAGGGUGCAAGCGUUAAUCGGAAUUACUGGGCGUGAAGCGUGCGUAGGCGGCUUUGCAAGACAGAUGUGAAAUCCCCGGGCUCAACCUGGGAACUGCAUUUGUGACUGCAUGGCCAGAGUACGGUAGAGGGGGAUGGAAUUCCGCGUGUAGCAGUGAAAUGCGUAGAUAUGCGGAGGAACACCGAUGGCGAAGGCAAUCCUCUGGACCUGUACUGACGCUCAUGCACGAAAGCGUGGGGAGCAAACAGG